RNAcentral lists this ribosomal RNA (309 nucleotides) under Triticum aestivum (bread wheat). RNAcentral's name for it is "partial small subunit ribosomal RNA". The record is from RNAcentral. Lineage: Eukaryota; Viridiplantae; Streptophyta; Magnoliopsida; Poales; Poaceae.
GAGAGAAGAACCCUAUCUUAUGGAGGUAAAGAAGCCUUGCUAAAAGCGGUGGCCCAAGCCAUCCCAGCAUAUGCGAUGAGUGUUUUCAAAUUCUCGAACAAACUUUGCAAGGGGAUCACUGAUGCAAUGUCGCAAUAUUGGUGGGGUGAUGAUGAAAACCAACACCAGAUGCAUUGGUUUGCAUGGUGGAAAAUGUGUGUUCCCAAAGAUAGAUGUGUGAUUGGCUUCCGUGAUAUUCAUAGCUUCAACUUAGCCAUGCUUGGUAAGCAAUGUUGGAGGCUUAUCGAUACCUACGACUCUCUGUGCUAG